GGGGGGGGCUGCUUAAAUGCAAGUCGAACGGCAGCGGGGGUAGCUUGCUACCUGCCGGCGAGUGGCGAACGGGUGAGUAAUACAUCGGAACGUGCCCUGUAGUGGGGGAUAACUAGUCGAAAGACUAGCUAAUACCGCAUACGACCUGAGGGUGAAAGUGGGGGACCGCAAGGCCUCAUGCUAUAGGAGCGGCCGAUGUCUGAUUAGCUAGUUGGUGGGGUAAAGGCCCACCAAGGCGACGAUCAGUAGCUGGUCUGAGAGGACGAUCAGCCACACUGGGACUGAGACACGGCCCAGACUCCUACGGGAGGCAGCAGUGGGGAAUUUUGGACAAUGGGGGCAACCCUGAUCCAGCAAUGCCGCGUGUGUGAAGAAGGCCUUCGGGUUGUAAAGCACUUUUGUCCGGAAAGAAAUCGCACUGGUUAAUACCUGGUGUGGAUGACGGUACCGGAAGAAUAAGGACCGGCUAACUACGUGCCAGCAGCCGCGGUAAUACGUAGGGUCCAAGCGUUAAUCGGAAUUACUGGGCGUAAAGCGUGCGCAGGCGGUUGUGCAAGACCGAUGUGAAAUCCCCGGGCUUAACCUGGGAAUUGCAUUGGUGACUGCACGGCUAGAGUGUGUCAGAGGGAGGUAGAAUUCCACGUGUAGCAGUGAAAUGCGUAGAGAUGUGGAGGAAUACCGAUGGCGAAGGCAGCCUCCUGGGAUAACACUGACGCUCAUGCACGAAAGCGUGGGGAGCAAACAGGAUUAGAUACCCUGGUAGUCCACGCCCUAAACGAUGUCAACUAGUUGUUGGGGAUUCAUUUCCUUAGUAACGUAGCUAACGCGUGAAGUUGACCGCCUGGGGAGUACGGUCGCAAGAUUAAAACUCAA
Molecule: ribosomal RNA, 873 nt
Filed under: Ralstonia solanacearum
Lineage: Bacteria; Pseudomonadati; Pseudomonadota; Betaproteobacteria; Burkholderiales; Burkholderiaceae
Description: bacterial SSU rRNA
Rfam family: Bacterial small subunit ribosomal RNA
Source: RNAcentral